Molecule: ribosomal RNA, 1065 nt
Filed under: Triticum aestivum (bread wheat)
Lineage: Eukaryota; Viridiplantae; Streptophyta; Magnoliopsida; Poales; Poaceae
Description: partial small subunit ribosomal RNA
Source: RNAcentral
AUGGCAACCCCAUCCUCGUUCACGGACCUCCUCCAAAACGCGGAGGUGGACCUCGGAGCUCCGCCUCUAGACCCCUUUAGGGUUGGCGACGACUUGGAGGAAAAGGAGGAAGAUGAGGAGGAUGAAGGGGAUGACGAGGAGGAGGUGGCCGAGAUAGGGGUGGAGGCAUUCACCGCCGCUUCCCGCCCACACGCUCGGUCGACAAACUACACCGAGGCGGAAGAUGUCCUCUUGGUUCGUGCUUGGGCAGCUGUGGGAAUGGAUGCUACCACCGGCACCGAUCAAACCGGUAAACUCUAUUGGCAAAGGACCGAGGACGUCUAUUGUAGGAUCAAGCCGAAGACUAGUGGGUUCAUCCAUCGCACUUACCGGUCGCUUCAAGGCCGGUGGGAGUUGAUCAAGCCCGCUUGUUCUCGUUGGAGUGCGGCCAUGGACCAAGUGAGGGAUGCACCACCUAGUGGAACCGUGGAGAGUGACUAUGAGACAAUUGCCGGCUUGAGGUACAAGGAGAUGGCCGCUUCCAAGGGCAAGCCAUUCCCAUUUAAGCAUGUUUGGUCAAUUCUUCAAACCUUUGACAAGUGGAAGUUGAGGGAUCAAGAGACCGCACCCAAGAAGUCGGCAAUGCUAAGGAUGGACGAUAGUGAAGAUGAGGAGGAGAGGAACGUGGGCAAGCCCGAGGGAAACAAGAAGGGCAAGCUAAGGGUCAAGAUGGAAGAAGAGGCGUCAAGCCUAAGGGAGAAGAUGGACCACAUGAUAAAGGCAAGAGAGGAAUUGACAACGAAGACAUUGGAGAUGAAGCUUCUUAUCACCGAGAAGAAGAAAGAGGUCAAGCUUGCACAAGUUGAAGAAAAACGUGAAGAAGCAAAGCGCAAGGCCGAGUUGGAGGAGAGGAUGAUCAAGCUCAAAGAGGCAAAGGUAUGGAAAGAACUCAUGGUGGAAGAGAAAGAGCACAUGAUGAUGUCCAAGAAGGACAUGUAUCAAGACCAAUUGCAAUGGUGGAAGGACUACAAGGAGGACAUCACGGAGAGGAAGAGGAUGUUUCGUGUUGCGUCCUCUACUUUUUGA